UUUCCGUAGGUGAACCUGCGGAAGGAUCAUUACUGAGUGAGGGCCCUCUGGGUCCCACCUCCCACCCGUGUUUAUUAUACCUUGUUGCUUCGGUGAGCCCGCCUCACGGCCGCCGGGGGGCAUCUGCCCCCGGGCCCGCGCCCACCGAAGACACCUAGAACUCUGUAUGAAGAUUGCAGUCUGAGCAAAAACUAAAUAAGUUAAAACUUUCAACAACGGAUCUCUUGGUUCCG
Molecule: unclassified non-coding RNA, 233 nt
Filed under: plant metagenome
Description: partial contains small subunit ribosomal RNA, internal transcribed spacer 1, and 5.8S ribosomal RNA
Source: RNAcentral